UACGGGGGGGGGCAAGCGUUGUUCGGAAUUACUGGGCGUAAAGGGCUCGUAGGCGGCGUGACAAGUCAAUUGUGAAAUCUCCGGGCUUAACUCGGAACGGUCAAUUGAUACUGUUGUGCUAGAGUACAGAAGGGGCAAUCGGAAUUCUUGGUGUAGCGGUGAAAUGCGUAGAUAUCAAGAGGAACACCUGAGGUGAAGACGGGUUGCUGGGCUGAUACUGACGCUGAGGCGCGAAAGCUAGGGUAGCAAACGGG
Molecule: ribosomal RNA, 254 nt
Filed under: uncultured bacterium
Lineage: Bacteria
Description: partial 16S ribosomal RNA
Rfam family: Bacterial small subunit ribosomal RNA
Source: RNAcentral